Molecule: ribosomal RNA, 253 nt
Filed under: uncultured bacterium
Lineage: Bacteria
Description: partial 16S ribosomal RNA
Rfam family: Bacterial small subunit ribosomal RNA
Source: RNAcentral
UACGUAUGGAGCAAGCGUUAUCCGGAUUUACUGGGUGUAAAGGGAGCGCAGGCGGCUUUGCAAGUCUGAUGUGAAAGGCCGGGGCUCAACCCCGGGACUGCAUUGGAAACUGUAAAGCUAGAGUGCCGGAGAGGUAAGCGGAAUUCCUAGUGUAGCGGUGAAAUGCGUAGAUAUUAGGAGGAACACCAGUGGCGAAGGCGGCCUGCUGGACUGCGACUGACGUUGAGGCCCGAAAGCGUGGGGAGCAAACAGG